GACGUAGGGCGCGAGCGUUGUCCGGAUUUAUUGGGCGUAAAGAGCUCGUAGGCGGCUUGUCGCGUCGUCCGUGAAAACCUGCAGCUUAACUGUGGGCGUGCGGUCGAUACGGGCAUCACUGGAGUUCGGCAGGGGAGACUGGAAUUCCUGGUGUAGCGGUGAAAUGCGUAGAUAUCUGGAGGAAUACCGGUGGCGAAGGCGGCAUCCUGGACCAUUACUGACGCUGAGGCGCGAAAGCUAGGGGAGCAAACGGG
RNAcentral lists this ribosomal RNA (254 nucleotides) under uncultured bacterium. RNAcentral's name for it is "partial 16S ribosomal RNA". It matches the Rfam family "Bacterial small subunit ribosomal RNA", at positions 524 to 776 of the family's 1533-position model. The record is from RNAcentral.